AUUGAACGUUGGCGGCAGGCCUAAAGCAUGCAAGUCGAACGGUAACAGCGAGAGCUUGCUCUCGGCUGACAAGUGGCGAGCGGGUGAGUAACGCGUAGGAAUCUACCCAGUAGUGGGGGACAACCCGGGGAAACCCGGGCUAAUACCGCAUACGCUCUGCGGAGGAAAGCGGGGGAUCUUCGGACCUCGCGCUAUUGGAGGAGCCUGCGUCGGAUUAGCUAGUUGGUAGGGUAAAGGCCUACCAAGGCGACGAUCCGUAGCUGGUCUGAGAGGACGAUCAGCCACACUGGAACUGAGACACGGUCCAGACUCCUACGGGAGGCAGCAGUUAGGAAUCUUGGGCAAUGGGCGCAAGCCUGACCCAGCCAUGCCGCGUGUGUGAAGAAGGCCCUCGGGUUGUAAAGCACUUUCAGUGGUGAAGAAAAGCUCGAGGCUAAUACCCUCGGGUCUUGACGUUAGCUACAGAAGAAGCACCGGCUAACUCCGUGC
Molecule: ribosomal RNA, 489 nt
Filed under: uncultured bacterium
Lineage: Bacteria
Description: bacterial SSU rRNA
Rfam family: Bacterial small subunit ribosomal RNA
Source: RNAcentral